This 500-nucleotide ribosomal RNA is filed under the name uncultured bacterium. RNAcentral's name for it is "partial 16S ribosomal RNA". It matches the Rfam family "Bacterial small subunit ribosomal RNA", at positions 30 to 523 of the family's 1533-position model. The record is from RNAcentral.
AUUGAACGCUGGCGGAAUGCUUUACACAUGCAAGUCGAACGGCAGCACGGACUUCGGUCUGGUGGCGAGUGGCGAACGGGUGAGUAAUGUAUCGGAACGUGCCCAGUCGUGGGGGAUAAGGUAGUGAAAAUUACGCUAAUACCGCAUACGAUCUAUGGAUGAAAGCGGGGGAUCGCAAGACCUCGCGCGAUUGGAGCGGCCGAUAUCAGAUUAGGUAGUUGGGGGGGUAAAGGACCACCAAGCCAACGAUCUGUAGCUGGUCUGAGAGGACGACCAGCCACACUGGAACUGAGACACGGUCCAGACUCCUACGGGAGGCAGCAGUGGGGAAUUUUGGACAAUGGGCGAAAGCCUGAUCCAGCCAUUCCGCGUGCAGGAUGAAGGCCCUCGGGUUGUAAACUGCUUUUGUACAGAACGAAAAGGUUUCUACUAAUACUAGGAGCUCAUGACGGUACUGUAAGAAUAAGCACCGGCUAACUACGUGCCAGCCGCCGCCGUAA